Molecule: ribosomal RNA, 404 nt
Filed under: Actinomycetes bacterium
Lineage: Bacteria; Bacillati; Actinomycetota; Actinomycetes
Also listed under: 2 other names
Description: Actinobacteria bacterium partial 16S ribosomal RNA
Rfam family: Bacterial small subunit ribosomal RNA
Source: RNAcentral
UGGGGAAUAUUGGACAAUGGGCGCAAGCCUGAUCCAGCCAUGCCGCGUGAGUGAUGAAGGCCCUAGGGUUGUAAAGCUCUUUCACCGGUGAAGAUAAUGACGGUAACCGGAGAAGAAGCCCCGGCUAACUUCGUGCCAGCAGCCGCGGUAAUACGAAGGGGGCUAGCGUUGUUCGGAUUUACUGGGCGUAAAGCGCACGUAGGCGGACUUUUAAGUCAGGGGUGAAAUCCCGGGGCUCAACCCCGGAACUGCCUUUGAUACUGGAAGUCUUGAGUAUGGUAGAGGUGAGUGGAAUUCCGAGUGUAGAGGUGAAAUUCGUAGAUAUUCGGAGGAACACCAGUGGCGAAGGCGGCUCACUGGACCAUUACUGACGCUAAGGUGCGAAAGCGUGGGGAGCAAACAGG